RNAcentral lists this long non-coding RNA (327 nucleotides) under Homo sapiens (human). Its description in RNAcentral is "non-protein coding lnc-PAM-5:2". The record is from RNAcentral. Lineage: Eukaryota; Metazoa; Chordata; Mammalia; Primates; Hominidae.
GACGCUCAACAGAAUAAACACACUUGAGACAUCAAAGAAAUAUCAUAUUAAGAGAACUGUUCAGAAAAGUGGUGAAGACUGGCAGUCCAAAAUCAAGGUUGGUGUAUGGUGAAGCCUCUUCUCCUGGCUUUCAGAUCUCCAGCUUCUGUGCCCUUGCAUGGCUUUCUUUGGUGUGAAUGCCACGAAAAGAGCGAGUCUGGUAUCUCUUUCUCUUCUUAUAAAAACACCAGUCUUAUCAGAUUAGGGCUCCCUAAUUACUGGAACUUAUAAAUGUUACCUUCUAAGGAAAAAGAGUCUUUGCAGAUAUAAUUAAAUUAAAGAUCUUUA